GAUGAACGCUGGCGGCGUGCCUAAUACAUGCAAGUCGAGCGAACAGAUGAGGAGCUUGCUCCUCUGACGUUAGCGGCGGACGGGUGAGUAACACGUGGAUAACCUACCUAUAAGACUGGGAUAACUUCGGGAAACCGGAGCUAAUACCGGAUAAUAUAUUGAACCGCAUGGUUCAAUAGUGAAAGACGGUUUUGCUGUCACUUAUAGAUGGAUCCGCGCCGCAUUAGCUAGUUGGUAAGGUAACGGCUUACCAAGGCAACGAUGCGUAGCCGACCUGAGAGGGUGAUCGGCCACACUGGAACUGAGACACGGUCCAGACUCCUACGGGAGGCAGCAGUAGGGAAUCUGCAGCAAUGGGCGAAAGCCUGACGGAGCAACGCCGCGGGAGUGAUGAAGGUCUUCGGAUCGUAAAACUCUGUUAUUAGGGAAGAACAAAUGUGUAAGUAACUAUGCACGUCUUGACGGUACCUAAGCAGAAAGCCACGGCUAACUACGU
Molecule: ribosomal RNA, 496 nt
Filed under: uncultured bacterium
Lineage: Bacteria
Description: partial 16S ribosomal RNA
Rfam family: Bacterial small subunit ribosomal RNA
Source: RNAcentral